CCUACGGGGUGCAGCAGUCGAGAAUCAUUCACAAUGGGGGAAACCCUGAUGGUGCGACGCCGCGUGGGGGAAUGAAGGUCUUCGGAUUGUAAACCCCUGUCAUGUGGGAGCAAAUUAAAAAGAUAGUACCACAAGAGGAAGAGACGGCUAACUCUGUGCCAGCAGCCGCGGUAAUACAGAGGUCUCAAGCGUUGUUCGGAAUCACUGGGCGUAAGGCGUGCGUAGGCUGUUUCGUAAGUCGUGUGUGAAAGGCGCGGGCUCAACCCGCGGACGGCACAUGAUACUGCGAGACUAGAGUAAUGGAGGGGGAACCGGAAUGCUCGGUGUAGCAGUGAAAUGCGUAGAUAUCGAGAGGAACACUCGUGGCGAAGGCGGGUUCCUGGACAUUAACUGACGCUGAGGCACGAAGGCCAGGGGAGCGAAAGGGAUUAGAUACCCUUGUAGUC
This 446-nucleotide ribosomal RNA is filed under the name uncultured bacterium. RNAcentral describes it as "partial 16S ribosomal RNA". It matches the Rfam family "Bacterial small subunit ribosomal RNA", at positions 338 to 795 of the family's 1533-position model. The record is from RNAcentral.